AACGCUAGCUACAGGCUUAACACAUGCAAGUCGAGGGGCAGCACAGUGUAGCAAUACAUGGGUGGCGACCGGCGCACGGGUGCGUAACGCGUAUCCAACCUUCCCGUUACUCAGGGAUAGCCUUCCGAAAGGGAGAUUAAUACCUGAUGGUGUUGAAAUUCCGCAUGUUAUUUCAACUAAAGAUUUAUCGGUAACGGAUGGGGAUGCGUGACAUUAGGUAGAUGGCGGGGUAACGGCCCACCAUGCCUACGAUGUCUAGGGGUUCUGAGAGGAAGGUCCCCCACACUGGAACUGAGACACGGUCCAGACUCCUACGGGAGGCAGCAGUGAGGAAUAUUGGUCAAUGGCCGGAAGGCUGAACCAGCCAAGUAGCGUGAAGGAUGAAGGUUCUAUGGAUUGUAAACUUCUUUUAUACGGGAAUAAAACCUCCCACGUGUGGGAGCUUGUAUGUACCGUAUGAAUAAGCAUCGGCUAACUCCGUGCCAGCAGCCGCGGUAAUACGGAGGAUGCGAGCGUUAUCCGGAUUUAUUGGGUUUAAAGGGAGCGUAGACGGGGGAUUAAGUCAGUUGUGAAAGGCUGCGGCUCAACCGCAGCACUGCAGUUGAUACUGGUUCCCUUGAGUGCGGUUGAGGUAUGUGGAAUUCGUGGUGUAGCGGUGAAAUGCUUAGAUAUCACGAAGAACUCCGAUUG
RNAcentral lists this ribosomal RNA (690 nucleotides) under uncultured bacterium. Its description in RNAcentral is "bacterial SSU rRNA". It matches the Rfam family "Bacterial small subunit ribosomal RNA", at positions 32 to 715 of the family's 1533-position model. The record is from RNAcentral.